CAGCCGCCGCGGUAAUACGAAGGGGGCUAGCGUUGCUCGGAAUGACUGGGCGUAAAGGGCGCGUAGGCGGUUGGUACAGUCAGAUGCGAAAUUCCUGGGCUUAACCUGGGGGCUGCAUUUGAUACUGUUUGGCUUGAGUUUGGGAGAGGUGAGUGGAAUUCCCAGUGUAGAGGUGAAAUUCGUAGAUAUUGGGAAGAACACCAGUGGCGAAGGCGGCUCACUGGACCGACACUGACGCUGAGGCGCGAAAGCGUGGGGAGCAAACAGGAUUAGAUACCCGCGUAGUCCCUGUCUCUUAUAC
RNAcentral lists this ribosomal RNA (301 nucleotides) under uncultured bacterium. RNAcentral describes it as "partial 16S ribosomal RNA". It matches the Rfam family "Bacterial small subunit ribosomal RNA", at positions 509 to 807 of the family's 1533-position model. The record is from RNAcentral.